AAUCUUGUGCAAUGGGCGAAAGCCUGACGCCGCCAUGCCGCGUGAAUGAUGAAGGUCCUAGGAUUGUAAAAUUCUUUCACCGGGGACGAUAAUGACGGUACCCGGAGAACAAGCCCCGGCUAACUUCGUGCCAGCAGCCGCGGUAAUACGAAGCGGGCUAGCGUUGCCCGGAAUUACUGGGCGUAAAGGGCGCGUAGGCGGAUCGUUAAGUCAGGGGUGAAAUCCCGGGGCUCAACCUCGGAACUGCCCUUGAUACUGGCGAUCUUGAGUAUGAGGGAGGUAUGUGGAACUCCGAGUGUAGAGGUGAAAUUCGUAGAUAUUCGGAAGAACACCAGUGGCGAAGGCGACAUACUGGCUCAUUACUGACGCUGAGGCGCGAAAGCGUGGGGAGCAAACA
Molecule: ribosomal RNA, 397 nt
Filed under: uncultured bacterium
Lineage: Bacteria
Description: partial 16S ribosomal RNA
Rfam family: Bacterial small subunit ribosomal RNA
Source: RNAcentral